AGCGAACGCUGGCGGCAGGCUUAACACAUGCAAGUCGAGCGGGCACUUCGGUGUCAGCGGCAGACGGGUGGGUAACACGUGGGAACGUACCCUUCGGUUCGGAAUAACGCUGGGAAACUAGCGCUAAUACCGGAUACGCCCUUUUGGGGAAAGGUUUACUGCCGAAGGAUCGGCCCGCGUCUGAUUAGCUAGUUGGUGGGGUAAUGGCCUACCAAGGCGACGAUCAGUAGCUGGUCUGAGAGGAUGAUCAGCCACACUGGGACUGAGACACGGCCCAGACUCCUACGGGAGGCAGCAGUGGGGAAUAUUGGACAAUGGGCGCAAGCCUGAUCCAGCCAUGCCGCGUGAGUGAUGAAGGCCUUAGGGUUGUAAAGCUCUUUUGUCCGGGACGAUAAUGACGGUACCGGAAGAAUAAGCCCCGGCUAACUUCGUG
RNAcentral lists this ribosomal RNA (433 nucleotides) under uncultured bacterium. RNAcentral describes it as "partial 16S ribosomal RNA". It matches the Rfam family "Bacterial small subunit ribosomal RNA", at positions 29 to 507 of the family's 1533-position model. The record is from RNAcentral.